GGAACCUAGUGCGAUGUAUUGAGGUUGUGCUGUAGAGCAUUAUUGGGGGGGAUCUAUGUGUUGAGAAGCUUGGUGAAAUUAUUGGAUAGAGAUUGAAAAUAUUUAUUUGAGCAUUUUUUAAAUUAUUCAAUUCAAAUUAGAUUAUUCAAAUUACAGGAGAUGGAGGAGGUUAAUUAUACAUUGUUUUCUUGGUUUUAUAACUUUUUGUAUCCAGUUAGUGCAGAUUAUUUCAAUUUUCCAUGAUAACAAGCUAGCUACCAGUUCGAGUGUGCACCUUUCGCCGGCAACGCUACCUCAAAUUGUUUUUACUUUUUGUUGAACCCUUUUCAUUCUCUGGGGCACACGGAAAAGGUGCGAAUUAAAACCGAGGUCGACUGCCUGAGAUCAGUUUCAUGAAGAAAGAUGAAAAGGUGAUGGCGUUCAAUACCAAUUGCUAUCAAAAGUGUAGCUGGUUAACAGGGAGCCUUUCAUCAAUCCGUCUGUAUUUUUGCUUUUUGAGAAUUCUGAGCCUUGGGCGAUAGCAGGGUACAGUGCCCUGAAGAACAUUGAUCAUUCAGCUAAAUGGCAAAACAAAAGCAGAGAGCAUAACGUUAUAAGAUUCAAGCUUCUGGGAAAAAGCCGCAUCGACCGUGUCGAAGGUCUGCCUAUUCAAAAUGCGCAACACAACGAGAAAGUAAGAAGAAACAGGGAUAUUCUCAAGCGGUUUAUCAACACCACUGCGUUUUUGUGCAUGCAAAAAUUGGGAGGGCACAACGAGAGGGAAUGUUCCGCUAACUAACAAGUGCAACCACAAGGAGCUUGUAGCAGUAAUUGCACGUUUCGAUGCUUUACUUGCUGAACAUAUGGAACUUUCAGUCUUUUCUGGGAUCAUUCAUUAAAGAGAGAGGUUGACGCAGGGCGCUCAAUUCUAUCUAUGUCUCUUCCUGUUCCCUGAUUGAAGAAGUGACCACUCCACUCCACUGCGAUUGUCAACUCUCUCCUGACAUGAACUGAAGCCACGUCUCAUGUUCCCACUCAUCCACUGUUACAUUUAAUGAUUCUUCUCCAACCACUUCAAAUCCUGUCCUGCACAGAAGUCAAGUCACUGAAAACCUCAAUUCAUGCCUUAUACCCUCAUUCAAUCACUGCUGUGAUCCCUUCCCAAAACGGUGUAUGUAGCCCUCUCAUUCUCAUUCCCCAUAAUAUUGUACAAUAAAUGUCUUUACUAAAUUCUUUAGGUUAAAACAAUUACUCUGGCGAUUUUUGAAACACGCUUUGACGUCUCCGUGUGUCUACAACGUGGGUUUCCUCAGUUUUUCAAGUCUCCAGCCUCCACUGAUCACAGUGCUAGCUGUGCCACUAGAGAUCCUUGUUCGAGUCCAGGCUCAGUCGAAAAAGGAAUAAGAAAAUACAAUAGUUUCCAGAGGGGUGGGGUUGAUUCUCCUCCACAAAUCAAACAGAGAAAGGCAUCUAGAAUUAGCAUGCCAACAAGACUACAUUUUGUUGGUUCCAGGUAGGACUGUAUCAUAGCCACAGAGACAUUCCUGCAUAAAUGCCUGCAGGAGGAUGGAUGGGACUCCUCAUACAACAGCAACCUGUGGAAACCUGGAAACCUAUCUUACACAUGCCAGGAGGGAGCGAAAACCUCCAGUGCAAACAGCUACUCAAUUUGUUCUACAUAAAAACAUGCACUGUAGGCUAUGCAUGCAGAGUAGGGUUGAUUAUUUUUCCCGGUAUUUUACAAAUGUUCCAUCCCGAGAAUAAAUCACUUUUUAACCAGGGAACCUGGUGUAAUUCAAAAGCAUAUAAUUAGGCCUGUCUGGAUUUGAUUAGAGCUUUGAUCUAAAAUUAAAGCCUGAUGCUACCUGAGCCUGAUGAGCCAUACAUUAAAUACAUUUUAUGACCACAACAUUAAAGACAUUUAAUGAGCCCAAGCCCAAAGAAGCCCAAAUUAUUGUGCCAUUAUUCAAUACAUACAAGUGCAUUCUGAAAGUAUUCAGACUCUUUGACUUUUAACACAUUUUGUUAAAGUACAGCCUAAUUCUAAAAUGUAUUAAAUCAUUUUUUUCCCCUCAUCAAGCUACACACAAAACCCCAUAAUGACAAAGCAAAAACUGGUUUUUAGAAAUGUUUGCUGAUAUGACAGUGUUGGUAUUGCUGCUGUAAAAUAAUAUAUAUUGUAAUGUCAAUCUACGUAACAUAAUAAAAAAGUCCCCAUCAAAAUCCAUCAAUUUAAUCCAGUUUAAUAUUUUUGCAUAUUUGCUACGGGGAAGGAUGGCCAGCCACAUAGGAGGGUGAUUUUUUACUAAGGAGGAAAAGGAGGCCGUGCUGACCGAGAUGCAUGUUGGCCCUUCCUUUCUUCUGACGGGGAAUUGUCAAGGAGGUGGACAGCUGUGCAAGUGAAAUAACCUUUUGUUUAUCAAUCACAUUCUAUUAUAUCUGAAAUUAUUAUGAUUUCAAUGAAUGUUAUAUCAGAGAGCACACAAUGUUUAAAUGAGUUACUUUUAGCUUUAAAAAGGUUGGUAUCCUGUCUAGCCUGACAGAAGUUUGAGAGGGCAAAGACUGUGGCAGCGGAGUUGAAGCCCAUCAAAGUAGUUUCACCAUGGCACAUGAUCAGUAAGUGUCCCAAUUCAAAUUUAGCAGAUUUCAGUCAAAUCAAAGUUUAUUUGUCACGCACGCCGAAAACAACAGGUU
Long non-coding RNA from Oncorhynchus kisutch (coho salmon), 2673 nucleotides. RefSeq lists it as uncharacterized. The record is from RefSeq and is a predicted model, not a curated record. The transcript is spliced from 3 exons. Lineage: Eukaryota; Metazoa; Chordata; Actinopteri; Salmoniformes; Salmonidae.